This 914-nucleotide ribosomal RNA is filed under the name Bacillus amyloliquefaciens. Its description in RNAcentral is "bacterial SSU rRNA". It matches the Rfam family "Bacterial small subunit ribosomal RNA", at positions 56 to 952 of the family's 1533-position model. Lineage: Bacteria; Bacillati; Bacillota; Bacilli; Caryophanales; Bacillaceae. The record is from RNAcentral.
UGCAGUCGAGCGGACAGAUGGGAGCUUGCUCCCUGAUGUUAGCGGCGGACGGGUGAGUAACACGUGGGUAACCUGCCUGUAAGACUGGGAUAACUCCGGGAAACCGGGGCUAAUACCGGAUGGUUGUUUGAACCGCAUGGUUCAGACAUAAAAGGUGGCUUCGGCUACCACUUACAGAUGGACCCGCGGCGCAUUAGCUAGUUGGUGAGGUAACGGCUCACCAAGGCGACGAUGCGUAGCCGACCUGAGAGGGUGAUCGGCCACACUGGGACUGAGACACGGCCCAGACUCCUACGGGAGGCAGCAGUAGGGAAUCUUCCGCAAUGGACGAAAGUCUGACGGAGCAACGCCGCGUGAGUGAUGAAGGUUUUCGGAUCGUAAAGCUCUGUUGUUAGGGAAGAACAAGUGCCGUUCAAAUAGGGCGGCACCUUGACGGUACCUAACCAGAAAGCCACGGCUAACUACGUGCCAGCAGCCGCGGUAAUACGUAGGUGGCAAGCGUUGUCCGGAAUUAUUGGGCGUAAAGGGCUCGCAGGCGGUUUCUUAAGUCUGAUGUGAAAGCCCCCGGCUCAACCGGGGAGGGUCAUUGAAAACUGGAGAACUUGAGUGCAGAAGAGGAGAGUGGAAUUCCACGUGUAGCGGUGAAAUGCGUAGAGAUGUGGAGGAACACCAGUGGCGAAGGCGACUCUCUGGUCUGUAACUGACGCUGAGGAGCGAAAGCGUGGGGAGCGAACAAGAUUAUAUACCCUGGUAGUCCACGCCGUAAACGAUGAGUGCUAAGUGUUAGGGGGUUUCCGCCCCCUAGUGCUGCAGCUAACGCAUUAAGCACUCCGCCUGGGGGAGUACGGUCGCAAGACUGAAACUCAAAGGAAUUGACGGGGGCCCUCACAAGCGGUGGAGCAUGUGUUUAAUUC